Capra hircus (goat) is the source of this 2074-nucleotide RNA transcript. It is a transcript of the gene named serpin family G member 1, with no coding region annotated. The transcript is spliced from 9 exons. The record is from RefSeq and is a predicted model, not a curated record. Lineage: Eukaryota; Metazoa; Chordata; Mammalia; Artiodactyla; Bovidae.
AGGUCCGGGACAUUAGGGGUCUGGGACGGUUCCAUCACGGCCGGUGCGGAGGGAGCAGGGCGCCUGGCUGUGCCCAGCUGAGAUCUGCACCCCAGCUUCCCCAGCCUGGAUCUCCAGGGACUUUGAGCUGAAAUUCCAGGAGGGGGCUGGACCAAGUGGUCCGGCCCAGCCUGAUUUACAGGAAACCACACCAGCACUCUAUCCGCCUUAAUUUGUAACUGAACAGUGUCCUGGGCCAACCAAUAGCUACCACCGAACCCCCACUCAUGCAGCCUCCCUAACCCUGGGGGACUAGCUGCUGAGUCGCCCCGAGGCAGGGCAGCGAUCGGAACUUCGGAGCAGGUCCGGGCUGACGUCGCCUCCCAGAUGGCCUCCAGGCUGACCCCGCUGACCCUCCUGCUGCUGCUGCUGCUGGCUGGGGACAGAAUCGCCUCAGAUAUGAUCGUCGGCCCAGAGAGCUUACAAGAAGGGGAAAGUGAAGGAGACAGCCAGAAAGGAGGUAUUCUCGACAGCGAGUCCCUUCAAGGCAACGAGGACCCUCCCGCCUUGCCGAUGGCUAACCGGACUGUCGCCGAGCCGCUGUCACCGAGCCCUCCAGCUGUCACCGAGCCCUUCAGCCAGCCCGCCCCCGAACCGGCCCAGUCGACCAGCCAGCCCGCUGCUGAGCCCUUCUGCCCGGCGCCCGUCACCUCCUGCCCUGACUCGGAGAUCCGCUCAGCAGAGGCGGUGCUGGGGGAGGCUUUGACAGACUUCUCCCUGAGGCUCUACCACGACUUCUCAGUGUUGAAGAAGAAGGAGACCAACUUCAUCUUUUCCCCCUUCAGCAUUGCCAGCCUCCUCUCCCAAAUCCUGCUUGGGGCUGGAGGAGAAACCAGGGUCAGCCUGGAGCGCCUCCUCUCUUACCCCCAGAACUUCAGCUGUGUCCACCACGCCCUGAAGGCCUUCACGUCUGAAGGUUUCACCUCUUUCUCUCAGAUCUUCCACAGCUCAGACCUGGCCAUCAGGGACACCUUCGCCGAGGCCUCUCAGAGGCUCUAUGGCAGCAGCCCGAGGCCCCUGGGAAAUGACAGCACCGCCAACUUGGAGCUCAUCAACGACUGGGUGGCCAAGAAGACCAACCUCAGGAUCAGGCGGCUGCUGGACAGCCUGCCAGAGGACACGCGCCUCAUCCUCCUCAACGCAGUCGCCCUGAGCGCCAAGUGGAAGAUAGCCUUUGAUAAAGGCAGAACAAGCCUGAAGCCCUUUCACACCAAAUCCUCUGCCAUCAAAGUGCCCAUGAUGAACAGCAAGAAGUACCCCGUGGCCUCGUUCACAGACCCGACUCUGAAGGCCCGGGUGGGCUGCCUGCAGCUGUCCCACAACCUCAGCUUUGUGAUCCUGGUGCCCCUGACAGUGAAACACCACCUCCAAGACCUGGAGCAGGCUCUCAGCACCUCCGUCUUCGAAGCUGUCAUGAAGAAGCUGGAGCUGACCAAGUUCCAUCCCACUCACCUGACGAUGCCUCGCAUCAAAGUGCAGAGCAGCCAGGACAUGCUGGAUUACUUUGACUUCAUCUACGACGUCAACCUGUGCGGGCUGACGGAGGACCCGGACGUGCAGGUGUCUGGGAUUCAGCACCAGGCCACCAUGGAGCUGGCGGAGAGCGGGGUGGAGGCGACCGCGGCCUCCGUCGUCUCCGUGGCCCGCAACUUGCUGCUCUUCGAAGUGCAGCAGCCCUUCCUCUUCCUGCUCUGGGACCAGCAGCACAAGUUCCCCGUCUUCAUGGGUCGGGUGUAUGACCCCAAGGGCUGAGCACGCCCCCGGGGCCUCAGCUCGCCCGGCUGCAUGGGCUGGGUGUAUGACCCCAAGGGCUGAGCCCGCCCCCGGGGCCUCAGCUCGCCUGGCUGCAGCCCACUCUGCACUUGCCCCUCCCCGCCUCCCACCUCAGGCCUGCCCUCCACCCGAAGGGCUGUCUUGGGGUCCCGUGAGGGGCCCAGCUCCCCUCCUCCCUUACGGCGACCCCUCCAAAGCACUUUUUGCUGCUUUCUCUGGCACAGAUACAGCAGACGUCACAAAUAAAGCCUGGCAGACAUGA